GUCUAUGGCCAUGCCACCUCGAACACACCCAAUGUCUGAUCUCAGAAGUUAAGCAGGGUCAGACCUUGUUAGUACUUGGAUGGGAGACCACCUAGGAAGAGCAGGUGCUGUAGGCA
Molecule: ribosomal RNA, 116 nt
Filed under: Pteropus alecto (black flying fox)
Lineage: Eukaryota; Metazoa; Chordata; Mammalia; Chiroptera; Pteropodidae
Source: RNAcentral